Molecule: ribosomal RNA, 820 nt
Filed under: uncultured bacterium
Lineage: Bacteria
Description: bacterial SSU rRNA
Rfam family: Bacterial small subunit ribosomal RNA
Source: RNAcentral
GGUUUAUCAAGUCUGUUGUUAAAGCUCACAGCUCAACUGUGAAUCGGCAAUGGAAACUGAAAGACUAGAGUGUGGUAGGGGUAGAGGGAAUUCCUAGUGUAGCGGUGAAAUGCGUAGAUAUUAGGAAGAACACCAGUGGCGAAGGCGCUCUACUGGGCCAUAACUGACACUGAUGGACGAAAGCUAGGGGAGCGAAAGGGAUUAGAUACCCCUGUAGUCCUAGCUGUAAACGAUGGACACUAGGUGUUGGCCGUAUCGACCCGGUCAGUAUCGAAGCAAACGCGUUAAGUGUCCCGCCUGGGGAGUACGCACGCAAGUGUGAAACUCAAAGGAAUUGACGGGGGCCCGCACAAGCGGUGGAGUAUGUGGUUUAAUUCGAUGCAACGCGAAGAACCUUACCAGGGUUUGACAUCCUACGAACUUUCCAGAGAUGGAUUGGUGCCUUCGGGAACGUAGAGACAGGUGGUGCAUGGCUGUCGUCAGCUCGUGUCGUGAGAUGUUGGGUUAAGUCCCGCAACGAGCGCAACCCUCGUCCUUAGUUGCCAUCAUUAAGUUGGGCACUUUAAGGAGACUGCCGGUGACAAACCGGAGGAAGGUGGGGAUGACGUCAAGUCAUCAUGCCCCUUACAUCCUGGGCUACACACGUACUACAAUGCAACGGACAAAGGGCAGCCAACUAGCGAUAGUGAGCUAAUCCCAUAAACCGUUGCUCAGUUCAGAUUGCAGGCUGCAACUCGCCUGCAUGAAGGCGGAAUCGCUAGUAAUCGCAGGUCAGCAUACUGCGGUGAAUACGUUCCCGGGCCUUGCACACACCGCCCGU